UGCUGAGGGAGAUGAAACACCUUCAAGAAAGAAAGAUUUUAUUGUAUAUCCCUUUUCCUCGAGGUUGAAGAUACCCCUGUACACACUAAGAUUUUUGUGACAGAAAUGAGAUCGCAACAUUUUGGUGUGUUGAGAACACUACUCCCCAAAUGCAAAUAACCUGGAAGUAGAUUUGGUCUGUGGCUGGGAGAUGAGUGGCUUACACUCAUCAGUGAAGGAUCUGGAAGGACUAUUAGCAGAACAAUGCCUCAGAGGAAGCCUUAAUUAAAGAACAGUAUGUUGAGAGAUUGUCUAUACUCUACUUACAAAAAACUUCACAAUUUUCUAUGACAAUGUUUCUACGCAUUGUAGGAAUGGUUAAAGGUUUGAGGACCCAGAGAAAUUACUGAUAAUAUGAAGUCAUAUAUUAAAAGUAUUUAUUUGAAUCAUUUAUAAUAUUUUGUUCUUGCUGGUGUUUGGAAUAUCUUUAUUUGAAGAGAGGUUUGAAGGGCAGUGUUUUAAAAACAACGUGCUGGUAAUGGUUAUAGUUCUGCAAACACUGACACAAGAAACUUCAUUGUAAUUUUAUGAUCUUCUAAUAUACAUGUAUGUCAAUAUCUGUUUAUAUAUGUAUAGAUUGUGAAAAAAAAAUGGCUUAUGUAAUUAAAUACAAGCAAGAGGACUGUCUUGUCUAGGUUUCUAAAAGUGGAGUGAAAAAAAAAGUGUAGAAAGAGAUUUGGGAUGAGGAAUGUUUUCUCAGGGAUGUUAAAUGCUUUUUGAUCCUGGACUCCCUGUAGCUGUGAUAUAGGUUUGUUUGUUUAACAACUGGAAUCCUUAUAUUACUUGAAGGAUCAAUAUAUUAGUUUAGUAGAAGGAACUAAUGAGUACUAGUUCUAAAACUUUCCGUUUCAACUUUGCUUGGCAUAUGAACAGCCUUGUUUCCUCAAUGAUUCUGACUCACAAAAAACACUGGAGUCAUAAUAGACUACUUUUGUCUUUUUGCACCCACCAGAUGCAAGGACAUCUUCCUCAUAUUUCACCUGUAUUAUUUUUGAAGUUGUUUAAUAUGGUCUAACUGUAAGAGAUUAUUCUUUUAUAUAAUUGAUUCAAAGUUUGCUGAGGAACAAGUCCAGGCAAGUCCUGGGCAAAAGUAGAGAAAUUUCUGUCUGGAGGACACUGAUGGACAGGUCCUGGCUAAGGGUUGUGAAAUCCUUUAAGGAGCACAGGUGGACAAGGCCAGGGGCAACAACAGAAGGAUAAGCUGCUGAUAAUGGCCGAGAAAGGGUCUUUUGUGCGGACUUAUCUCGAGGAAGAUGGCCAUCUCAGGAGGUAUGCACAUGACUCUUGCUCAAGCACCCAGGGAUGUCGCAUAGGCAGGAAAAAAGGAGGAUAAAAGAGGGUCCAACAACCAUGAGGAGAGGUUUCUGCUAUCAGAUCCCUCACUGCGAAAGUCCUGAAUGCUGACGGACACAAGGUUUCUGCCAUCAGAUCCCUCACUACAGAAGGCCUGUAUGCUGAUGGACUCGAGGUGUCUGCCAUCAGAUCCCUCACUACGGACUGCAUGCUGACGGACUUUCCUGGGCCUGAUACCUGAGACCUGCUGCUUCCUCCUGGACUUACUCUGUGGCUUCUUCCUGGAACCACCCAGUACCUGCACGCUCUCAUUGCCCAAGACCAGCCUCACUGCUCCUGCCCUUCGGCCUCAGACCAUCGGAACAGAGUGCAAUGGGUCUACUGCUGGAUCCUGGUGGUGACUAUCCCUGCUUCACGCAAUUCUUGCUUCUUCUUAUCUUUUCUAUCACUCGCCUUCUCUUCCCCAUCACCCCAAUCUGUAAUAGUGUCCGUCCUCCCCUUUCUUCAUCUCCGUUAUUAACAUUUGUAAUAAACUGGUCAGACCAACAUUUGAACCGUUGUUUCUUAAUCUCACGCCAGGUACACAUACAUCAAAGAACCUCCUCUCCCUCCUAUAAAUUGGAGACACCAACAAGCAAUGGAAGUUUGCUAAAUUGAGCAGAAAACAGCUAAAGAUCAGCCAAAAUUAUUUUUGAUAAAGCUGAUGGUGGUGAAAUGGGGAUAAAAUAAGUCGCUGAAAGCCACUAUCAUGCGUGCCCAGAGGGACAUUAGCAUAUAUUGAUGAAUUCUUGGAAAGGAAUCAAUAUGCAUAGCAAUGUACAGCAUAUAUAUGUCUUAAAUGCUUAAAUGUAGAGCCUGAACUCUAAGAGAGCAUGCUUGUUUUGUCAAGUUUUCGGGUACAUAUCAGGAGGUAUAAAGGAAAACCACUUUCUAGCACCACAUUAGAGUUAGAGGGCUUUCUUCCUGGAUUUUGGAUGACAGUUGGAUUUGAAAAUAAUGUGCGUGUUGCAAUUGUGUGUACUGAAUUGAUAAUUUAACAAAUAAUUACAUUUUUAACUUUUGUUUUGUCUUUGAACAAAAGUUUAUUCCCUCCUUCUGCUUAUGUAGAAAUGUAAACUAUUUCUAAACAUGUUUUAGAGACAACUCCUAGAAAGCUUAAUAGCCCUGGUACCUCCUCUAUUGAGCAGACUAAAGAGAUUCUGUUCUGAGAGUUUUGGACAGACCUAUUUAGUUCUGAGAAUUAUCUUCAUAUUUAUCUGUCUCCAGAUACUAAUUCUAGAAACUGUUAAUAAAAAUACUAGUUUAUGUUGUGAGGAUAACAUAUC
Molecule: long non-coding RNA, 2657 nt
Organism: Gallus gallus (chicken)
Lineage: Eukaryota; Metazoa; Chordata; Aves; Galliformes; Phasianidae
Source: Ensembl